This 66-nucleotide transfer RNA is filed under the name Loxosceles similis. RNAcentral describes it as "tRNA-Met". Lineage: Eukaryota; Metazoa; Arthropoda; Arachnida; Araneae; Sicariidae. The record is from RNAcentral.
AUAUGGGUAAGCUAAUCAAGCUAAUGAGUUCAUACCUCAUAAAUGGAAAAUAUUAUUCCUAUUAUA